CUGCAAGUCGAGCGGACAGAUGGGAGCUUGCUCCCUGAUGUUAGCGGCGGACGGGUGAGUAACACGUGGGUAACCUGCCUGUAAGACUGGGAUAACUCCGGGAAACCGGGGCUAAUACCGGAUGGUUGUUUGAACCGCAUGGUUCAAACAUAAAAGGUGGCUUCGGCUACCACUUACAGAUGGACCCGCGGCGCAUUAGCUAGUUGGUGAGGUAACGGCUCACCAAGGCGACGAUGCGUAGCCGACCUGAGAGGGUGAUCGGCCACACUGGGACUGAGACACGGCCCAGACUCCUACGGGAGGCAGCAGUAGGGAAUCUUCCGCAAUGGACGAAAGUCUGACGGAGCAACGC
Molecule: ribosomal RNA, 352 nt
Filed under: Bacillus subtilis
Lineage: Bacteria; Bacillati; Bacillota; Bacilli; Caryophanales; Bacillaceae
Description: bacterial SSU rRNA
Rfam family: Bacterial small subunit ribosomal RNA
Source: RNAcentral